AUUUAUAUGACGAGUCCCACAUAUGACGAAACAUGGGUCCUGAAU
Non-coding RNA from Schistosoma rodhaini, 45 nucleotides. The record is from Rfam. NCBI's taxonomy places the organism in Eukaryota, Metazoa, Platyhelminthes, Trematoda, Strigeidida, Schistosomatidae.